AGGUCUUCCAGCCAUUGCCCAACAUUUAAAAGCAAUGCGAGGUUAAUCACGAUACAUGGGUAGAUGCUCUUUCCCUGAGUCCUUAGCUGAUGUUUGUUUUGUAGUCCAUCUUCAGCACAAUGUAGUUUCAACAGGCGGACAUCCGGUGUCACAUUGUUACAGAGAAACGAGUGUAAGGCUGUUCCAAUUCUCAGCACCGCUCCUCUCUUUUCCUGAGUUUUUAGCAAUUCUCCUUCACACGAUGACGUUUUCGUCGAGGCCAAAGAAAAGAGUUUAGGAAAAGGAGAUAGGCGCUAAUUUUGAAAUUACACCACGCGCGGUUACGUUGUGCAAGUGAGUCACGUGACCAAACCGAGUAACAAAUCACUGCAGAGUCGGGAGAAGGGGCGGAGAAAGUAUGUGUGCAGGAGUGGAGUCGAUCAGCGACAGUUGCUUUUUCAUUAAGCGGGAGUAAAGUAGUAAACUUACAGGAACAUAUACCACUACCAACGUUUGGAUCGAUAUCUGCAUCGAUCUGCACACCCUUGUCUCCUGGAUCGUUGCUCAGAUCAGCGUGAACCACGUGGGUCUCUGCUCCCUGAUCUGUUUCUUAAGACUUUCAGCUUCAUCGCGGAGUUUCUCUCGGUUUGUGGGCUCAUCUAAAGGGGUAAACUACGUCUAUAUACUUUUUGUGUCCCAGCUGAGUAACAGCAGAAGAGUCUGGUGGAGCAACAGAGGAACAAUUUCAGCCAUUUGGACUCAGCUCAGCCACUACAGAGGAAACAAUGUCUUUAACACAAAAGGACCAACAUGAGGCAAAAAGUCAGCGCUCUCAGGAGGCCAAAAAACCUCACAGAAGAAAG
Long non-coding RNA from Oreochromis niloticus (Nile tilapia), 842 nucleotides. RefSeq lists it as uncharacterized. The record is from RefSeq and is a predicted model, not a curated record. NCBI's taxonomy places the organism in Eukaryota, Metazoa, Chordata, Actinopteri, Cichliformes, Cichlidae. The transcript has 3 exons.